RNAcentral lists this ribosomal RNA (501 nucleotides) under uncultured bacterium. RNAcentral describes it as "bacterial SSU rRNA". It matches the Rfam family "Bacterial small subunit ribosomal RNA", at positions 30 to 507 of the family's 1533-position model. The record is from RNAcentral.
AUUGAACGCUGGUGGCGUGCUUAACACAUGCAAGUCGAGCGAGAAAGUUCCCUUCGGGGGAUGAGUAGAGCGGCGCACGGGUGAGUAACGCGUGGGUGACCUACCCAUAUGAUCGGGAUAACAGCUGGAAACGACUGCUAAUACCGGAUACGCUUCAUGUUUAGCUUCAUGAAGGAAAGGAGGCCUCUGCUUGCAAGCUUCCGCAUGUGGAUGGGCCCGCGUCUCAUUAGCUUGUUGGUGGGGUAAUGGCCUACCAAGGCAACGAUGAGUAGCUGGUCUGAGAGGAUGAUCAGCCACACUGGGACUGAAACACGGCCCAGACUCCUACGGGAGGCAGCAGUGGGGAAUAUUGCGCAAUGGGCGAAAGCCUGACGCAGCGACGCCACGUGGGGGAUGAAGGCCUUCGGGUCGUAAACCUCUGUCGGGAGGGAAGAAACCAUUUUGGUCGAAUAGGCCAUUUUGCUGACGGUACCUCCAAAGGAAGCACCGGCUAAUUCCGUG